CGGGCUGUAGCGUAGCCUGGUAGCGCGCUUGCAUGGGGUGCAAGAGGUCGUGAGCUUGUGCGCCUGCGGCGCAUUCGAACCCGCCAGAGGCGGGCAAGUCCGCCUGCGGCGGGCAAGUCUCACCAGCCUGA
This 131-nucleotide transfer RNA is filed under the name Opitutaceae bacterium. RNAcentral's name for it is "tRNA-Pro". The record is from RNAcentral. Lineage: Bacteria; Pseudomonadati; Verrucomicrobiota; Opitutia; Opitutales; Opitutaceae.